This 468-nucleotide ribosomal RNA is filed under the name uncultured bacterium. RNAcentral's name for it is "partial 16S ribosomal RNA". It matches the Rfam family "Bacterial small subunit ribosomal RNA", at positions 28 to 507 of the family's 1533-position model. The record is from RNAcentral.
GACGAACGCUGGCGGCGUGCUUAACACAUGCAAGUCGAACGGAAAGGCCCUGCUUUUGUGGGGUGCUCGAGUGGCGAACGGGUGAGUAACACGUGAGUAACCUGCCCUUGACUUUGGGAUAACUUCAGGAAACUGGGGCUAAUACCGGAUAGGAGCUCCUGCUGCAUGGUGGGGGUUGGAAAGUUUCGGCGGUAGGGGAUGGAUUCGCGGCUUAUCAGCUUGUUGGUGGGGUAGUGGCUUACCAAGGCUUUGACGGGUAGCCGGCCUGAGAGGGUGACCAGGCACAUUGGGACUGAGAUACGCCCCAGACUCCUACAGGAGGCAGCAGUGGGGAAUAUUGCACAAUGGGCGGAAGCCUGAUGCAGCAACGCCGCGUGCGGGAUGACGGCCUUCGGGUUGUAAACCGCUUUCGCCUGUGACGAAGCGUGUGUGACGGUAAUGGGUAAAGAAGCACCGGCUAACUACGUG